GGCGAACGGGUGAGGAAUGCAUCGGAACGUGUCCCGGAGUGGGGGAUAACGCCGCGAAAGCGGCGCUAAUACCGCAUAUGCUCCGAGGAGGAAAGUGGGGGAUUCGCAAGAACCUCACGCUCUGGGAGCGGCCGAUGUCCGAUUAGCUUGUUGGUGGGGUAAUGGCUUACCAAGGCGACGAUCGGUAGCUGGUCUGAGAGGAUGAUCAGCCACACUGGGACUGAGACACGGCCCAGACUCCUACGGGAGGCAGCAGUGGGGAAUUUUGGACAAUGGGGGCAACCCUGAUCCAGCCAUGCCGCGUGCGGGAAGAAGGCCUUCGGGUUGUAAACCGCUUUUAGUCGGGAAGAAAAGGCGCCGGAUAAUACCCGGCGCUGUUGACGGUACCGACGGAAUAAGCACCGGCUAACUACGUGCCAGCAGCCGCGGUAAUACGUAGGGUGCGAGCGUUAAUCGG
RNAcentral lists this ribosomal RNA (457 nucleotides) under uncultured beta proteobacterium. RNAcentral describes it as "bacterial SSU rRNA". It matches the Rfam family "Bacterial small subunit ribosomal RNA", at positions 97 to 548 of the family's 1533-position model. The record is from RNAcentral. Lineage: Bacteria; Pseudomonadati; Pseudomonadota; Betaproteobacteria.